ACAUCGGAAUCUUUGCAAGAAGAUGAGCCUAAUGAAGAUGACACGUCGACCGAGACCUACCCUGUCAGUCCCGUUGCCUCACCUAUCAACGAGCCGCCGUAUCAUUGGACUCAAGCAGUUGCCACGAGACUCGUGCCUGUGGCAGCUGACUACAAAUUCACAUUCACGAAGACAUUCAGUACUGACAGUGACGGUACAGAAACCGACGGUGACGACGCUGUAUGUGAGCAUUGCGGUCCAAAACCUCCAGCCCCGGUCAAACCGGCGCCCCUGCCUCCUUUUGGCUCUACGCCGAGGAGGCAAUCCCGGA
Molecule: long non-coding RNA, 310 nt
Organism: Ostrinia nubilalis (European corn borer)
Lineage: Eukaryota; Metazoa; Arthropoda; Insecta; Lepidoptera; Crambidae
Exons: 3
Source: RefSeq, a predicted model, not a curated record